Long non-coding RNA from Eriocheir sinensis (Chinese mitten crab), 6800 nucleotides. RefSeq lists it as uncharacterized. The transcript has 3 exons. NCBI's taxonomy places the organism in Eukaryota, Metazoa, Arthropoda, Malacostraca, Decapoda, Varunidae. The record is from RefSeq and is a predicted model, not a curated record.
UCUUAACUUUUGUACUAACUCUCAACUUGAUAUCACUUUUACUGUAUCUCUCUCUCAAGUAGAUAACAUCACUCCUAUACUGUGCAAUCUCUCUCCUAACGUGGGGCUCACAAAACAUUAGCAGAAGCAUAGCAAGAACAAAUAUAGACACACAUCACAGCCUCGCCAAAAACACCUUGAUAUCCAGACAGUAUGAAACAGAAUAAACAGGAUAAAUAAAAUGACUAGCUAAAUGAACAUGACUAGCUUUGUGAAUGUAUGAGUUGUUGUCUUUUGAAUCUGUGGAGAGUAAGAAUGUUACAGAUAAGGGCAAUGAACCUCAGAGAGUAGACCGAACAGAGAAAACAAUGGAGAUUCUGCCUGGUAAUAAAAUGAUUGAAGUAACCGAGAAAGAAGAAAAAUGAGAAAAAAAGGCAGAUACGACUAGAAAAAUAUAACUAACUUUCUUUUUCCUUCUUUACAAACAGGAUAGUUACAAAUGGUUAUACACAAACACAGAUUAUUAAUAUCUUCAAGACCAUGGACCGUAUUCUCAAACAUUUCGGGACUCACACACACACAUUUGAUAAGGCUUUCAUAGAGGCUGCGUUAGUGUUUCCAUGGGUAGUUUUAUGAGCCUAGUGAUAGUUUGACAAGGCUUCUGCACUGUGAAUAUAAAAAAAACACUUGUGAGAACCUGACUAAUCUCCUUUGUGGCCUUGGGAAACAGUUGUGAGAGCCGAAAGCAUGUGAGAGUACGUGCCUUGAUCUCUCCCUCGGUACUGGACUGCAGAAGCUACGUAACACUGGACUGGAUUCACGCAUUGACCUCCCUUAAAACAUGGGGGGAAACGCAAGUCAGGAGGGCAUGGGGGGAAGGGAGGGAGGGGUAGCAACAGACCUUGGCACCAGAAAGCGAGAAAGUGCUAGAGAAACUUACCUUAGUUGAGCAUAAAUCAAACAAGGCCUUUUUACUGUACCCAAAUAUAAAAAGAGGAAAUACAAAGACAGAGAUGAGGUAGUACAGUCUAACUCUAAGGACUGGCCAAAGACAAGGUGUAGAAGAUCCAUAAAUGGAAUACUCAGAUAAGGAUGCAGCAUACACUAAAUCUUCUACUUAUAAAUAACAUGCAGAUAAAUAAGUUAGGUUAGGUUAGGUUAAGUGUGUGCUCCUUCCCCGGGCAUAGAAAAUACAGGCAGGGAAAUAAGGAAGGAAGGAAGGAAGGAAGGUUUGAAGAUGGAAUGGAUGGAAUGGAAUGAAUGAUAGAAAGGAAGGAAGGCAGGAAGGAAGGAAUGAGAGGAUGGAAAGAUGGAAGAGGAUGAAAGGAAGGAAAGAAAUGAAGGAAGAAAACUGAUGAUAGGUUGACAAAUAUAGGGAAAUAACAGAAGAAAGGAAGGAAGGAAGGAAGGAAGGAGAUAAGGAAGAUACGCAAGAGGGAAAAAGAAGUGAUAGAUGGACUAAUACAGAUGGAAAUAAGGAAAGGAAGGGAAGACAAAAGGAGGGAACAGAAUGGAAGAAAUGAAAGAAGAGGCGAAAAAAAAAAACUUGCCAAUACAAAACCACCAACAAGGAUGCGAAAACAAACACACAAACAAACAGACUUAUCCUCCGCUACGACCUUACGGAUGAAUCAACACACACAAACACACCUUUCUCAACUCCGCCUUCCGUUCGGUGAGACUGAGAAACAUCGAUCUGACUAACACGCAAAGCAAUGUUGACCGAGCCGAUAUAUAUUCGUUCCUUUUUUUUUCCACCAUGCCGAUGAUAACGCACAAACACAUCAUCUAUUUUGUUGUUUCCUUAUCAUGGGGUUGGAUGUUUGAAGACUGCCCUUGAACUCUCUCGAUCAAGUGCUUCCUCCUCCUACAUAUGAGAGCAGCAAGGUCCUUCAUUUUUGUUGUUUCUUUAUCAUGGGGUUGGAUGUUUGAAGACCGCCCUUGAACUCUCUCAAUCAAGUGCUUCCUCUUCCUUUAUAUGAGAGCAGCAAGGUCCUUCUCAUACACGAAUACCGAGACAAAUCAGUUUUUCUUCUGCACACUUUCCUACAAACACAAAAAUAGUCGUAAUUCUCUCUCUUGCGUUCUUUUCCAUUUUGCAUAUCUUUCUCUUCCUUCUUCCUCAUCCUCCUUGCUAUUCUUUCUGUUCCUUCCUCCUUCUUCUUUCCUGUGUUUUCUAUUUCUUCCUCAGCCUCUUCCUUCUUCCUCAUCCUCCUUGCUCUAUUUCUGUUCCUUCCUGUUUUUUCUAUUUCUUCCUCAACCUCUUUUCUGUUUUCUAUUCCUUCUUUCCUGUUCUUUCUACUCCUUCUUGUUCUUCCUUCUGUUCCAACACUAGGAUCAGUUUGUACGUGGCUUCUAAUGCUUAUGCUAUCGCCGACAUCUCACUAAAUUAAACUUAAACGAAUCACCCCCACAAAUAUAGCCAUUGUAGCUCUCUCGUGUUCUUUUCUCUUCAAAAGAUCAGACAUGAAGGGCGACCAACACUAGGCUCAGUCAGUACACGUAUUCUAACGCUUAUGCUAUCGCCGACAUCUCGCUAAAAUUAACUUAAACCGAAUCUUCUUCCUGAGAGGUGAGCUUGGCAACUUAUGAGCUAGGUGAGGUAACAUAUCACAGUGGGUUGGUAACAGUGGGUAAAAAGUCCUCUGUUGCGUUUCCUUAUAGUACCUGCCUUCUCUCCCUCUCCUUCUUCCUCUUGAGUCUUGGCGAGGGUGACACGACAAAAUGGGUGACGGUAAUAUUUCUUUAAACCAGCCGUGUCUCUUCCUGUUCCUGUUCCUCCUUUGCAUCUUCUUCCUCUUCCUUCUGUCUCCUCCUCCUCCUCCUGAGUCUCCUGUUAGCACAUGAUAUUGGGUAAGAGGUGGUUUCUUUUGCAUCCUCUUCUUUCCUGAUCUUUCUCUUCCUUCCUCCUCCUCCACGUUCUUUCCUCUUCCUCCUUCCUCCUGUUCUUUCCAUUCCUUCUUCCUCCUCGUCCUGUUCUCCUUAUCCUUCUUCCUCAUCCCCCUUCCCAUUCCUCUGUUCCUUCUUCCUCCACCUUGCUGUUCUUCUCUCUAUUUCUUCUUCCUCCUCCUCCUUCCUGUUCUCUUUGGUUGGUAUUAUAAGACACGUCCGCUUCUCACAUCAGCUAUUUCUAGAGGUCAAAGAGGGGGUCAGUCGGGUUCUAAUGAGUGUUUCUUCAGGUUCAUGGUACAGGUGAAGGGUCAAACUACCACCAGGGCCAUAAAACUACAACUGGAAAUGCCCACAACUCUUACGAAAGUCUUGCCAAAUAUACUGAGCAGCGAAAUGUCUUAUAAUACGACCGUUUAUUUCUUCCUCCUCCUCCUCCUCCUCCUUUUACUUCCCACUCUUCUUUCUGUUCCUUCUUCCUGCUCCUCCUUGAUGCUCUUUCUAUUCUAUUCCUUCUUCCUUCUCCUUCCUCCUACUCCUCCUCCUCUUGAAUCUUCCGAGGUGAGCUUAGGAGUGGCAAGGUGAGGCACGGCAUAAAGGAGUCCAGGAUAAACACUCCUUCAAUCUGUCUCUGCCUCCUACUUUUCCUGGCUGCACUCUUACUUCAUCCUGCCUUCUCUCUGUGCGUCCUUGCUGUCCCACUUGUUGGCUUGUGGUAUUGCUGGUGUUGGUCUGGUAAUGUUGUGGAGGUUGGAUGCUGUGUUCCGAUUCUUUGGUGUUUGUAUGUCUCAAAGGAUCGUUCUCUUCAUAUGAGGAGGCUGUGGUCUUGGUUGGUUCUUGCUGUGGUACUUAUUGGCUUGUGGUAUCGUUAAUGUCCCUCUGGUAAUGCUGUGGAGGCCAGAAGCUGUUUGCACUCUCAGUUGGGUUCCUGUCUGUCAGAAAGGAGGCUGUCUGAGGAAGCUGUGGUCUUGGUAGGUCCUUGCUGUGUUUCUUCUUGGCUUGAGGUAAUACUUAAGUCCCUCUGGUAAUGCUGUGGAGGCUGGAGGCUGUGUUUCUCAGUUAAGCUCUUGUCUGACUGAAUCUCUUCUCUUUGUCUGUGAGGAGGCUGUGCUUUUGCUGUGGUUAGCCUUCUUGCAGUGCUGUGAGGGUUGCCUGCUGUGUCUGUCUCUUUUCACCUUCUUGUUUGUCUGUGAGGAGGCUGUGAUAACGCUGUGGCCAGACUUCUUGUAGCUGAUGUGUCUCUUUGUCUGUUGAGGUGAUAUCCCCCGUCCUUCCUCACUCUUGGUCUGUGAAACUGUCCUGAUCGUCUGUGAAGAGGCUGUGGUCAGGAUGGGUCGUUGCCGUGGUCCAUACUGUGUAGUUCUGUGUUCCUCGAAAAGUGCUGUGAAGGGCAGAUGAUGUAUUUGUGUCCCAGGCCAUGUUGCUGUGAAGGCCUGUGUUUGUGUUCCUCGUAAUGUUGCUGUGAGGGAGGGAGGCUGUGUUUCUGUCCCUCAUGGUGCUGCUGUGAGGGAGGAAUGCUGUGUUUCUGGUCACUGUCAUGUUGCUGUGUAGAGUUGAUGCUGUGUUUCUGUUGCAGGUCAUGUUGCUGCAAAGGCUGGAUGCUGUGUUUCUGUUGGAGGUCAUGUUGCUGUGUUGGUUGGGUGCUGUGUUUGUCCCCCUCAUCAUGUCGCUGUGAAGGCCAGAUGCUGUGUUUCUGUCCCUCAUCAAGUCGCUGUUAUGGCCAUGUACUGUGUUUGUGUUCCAGGCCAUGUUGCUGUGUUGGUUGGAUGCUGUGUUUGUCCCCCUCAUCAUGUUGCUGUGAAGGCCAGAUGCUGUGUUUCUGUCCCUCAUCAAGUCGCUGUUAUGGCCAUGUGCUGUGUUUGUGUUCCAGGCCAUGUUGCUGUGUUGGUUGGAUGCUGUGUUUGUCCCCCUCAUCAUGUUGCUGUGAAGGCCAGAUGCUGUGUUUCUGUCCCUCAUCAGGUCACUGUGAUGGCCAUAUCCUGUGUUUGUGUUCCAAGUCAUGUUGUUGUGUUGGUAGGAUGCUGUGUUUGUCCCCCUCAUCAUGUUGCUGUUCACACUGGAUGCUGUGCUUUCUGCUGUAUGUCUAUUUACGCUGUUCACCUGUGCGGGACUGUCCCUCACCAUAUUAUGCACUGGGAUGGCCAAGUCCUGAUCGGCAUUAGACAGCGGGGCAAUGACCACCCUCCCACUGGCUGUCUUCUUGAUCCUGAGGGAGGUGCUGUUGUUUAUGAGCCUCUUGGCGAAUGGUAGACAGCCACUCUUGCUUAGGGAGUAUGUGCUGCAGGGUUGAGUAGGGUGGUUCAGGUGGCUCACUCUCUCACAGGAAGGAGCAGGUGUGGGAGUAGGAGGAAUAUAAAGAGGAGCAUGGACUACCGUGUUUGUGUUUGAGAUUAAUGUGUCUUUGGUAGUCUGUGGGUGCUGGCUGGAGGAGAAGUAAGAGGAGGAGGAGGAGGAGGAGGAGGAGGGGGUAACUGCAGCUGUACCCUUCAUUCCUUCCUUAACUGGGUAGCUGAGGCAAGGCUUGAAGGCAGUCCUCCCCACACCUACACUGUUCAAUUUGGCUGUUGCUGGAGGGGCACUCUCUUGUGACCGUGUGUUGUGCUGUAUUCUUCCUGCUGUGAUUUUCAACCUUGCAUUUACCCCUGUGGCCUUCUGCAGUGUUGUGGCAUAGCUUAGAUGCUGUGUGGAUCCUGCUACAGCACUUCCUGACAUUGUUUCUUGGCUCAUUGGCUGUGUGGUGAGUGCUGUGGGGCUGCUCAAUGCUGUUCCAUGCAUACGUUGCUGUGUGGCUGUUUUUUGGUUGUGCUGCUGUGUCUGUGGUUCACACUCCCCUGAGCUGUGUCUGGUGGGGUGUGGGGUGCUGUGUCUUGGGGUUGGGGCACUAACCAGCAUUUUGAAGAUAUCCUCUAAAGGGAGUUCACUGGGAAAUGGACGAGUGGGCCGUGUGUUCAAUAGGUCAAGUCUGUCCUCAUUCAUUUCACUGUUAUAAUAAAAUGCCACUAACUCCUCCUCCUCCUCCUCCUCCUCCCCCUUUUCCUCUUCUUUCAUCAGGUCCUCAGGCAUUAACAGCUUCUCUUUCACAUCCUCUAUAAGCUCCAACUCCAACUCCUCAUCCUCAUUUUUCACCUCUUCUGUGCUUGAGGAACAGCCUGUAUUGAGGUCCAUGUCCUGAGGAAUAUCACAUCCCUUCUCUGGCUUCAAACCCAUCCAUAACAUGGAACACAAGCCACACAUCAGCCCGUCACACUCGUGGACAAAGUGAUCACUCCACUUCAUCUCGUCCUCGGGGAAGCUCACCAACAUGGCAUAAGACUUGCUGGCGCUGUUGAUCUGCUGUUCCUCCUCUUUGGAAAUAGAAACGCUGUGCACCACGGGCCUGCCCUCCCCCUCCCAUGUAUUCUGAAAUGUGAAAUAGAGCUGGUCCAUGACAGGAAAGUUUCCCUUUCCCUUCUCCACCUGCCUUGGCUUCUGCGGCUCUGUUUUGUCUGUGCCUGGUGGCGGAGCAUGGGCCACAUCUCUGUGUGUGUGUCCCCCUGCCUGAGGCCCUCCACCACAGCCUGGCUCUGCCGUGCUGACUGACACUGAGCCGCAGGGCCGAUGUGGCUGGACACAGUCUCCUGUAUCAGGGCGUCGGUGCCAGCUGCCGCCUGACUCACCUUGUGCUGCAUCAAGGCAGGUGUAGGGUGCAGGGCAUGGCCCCAAUAUGCUGGCACACCCCUCACCGCCCCUGCCAGCACUGGGAGCCCCGCCGGCCUCAGCGCACAGCCCAGUCCUGCCAUCUUCCACAUUCUUGGGGGGCACUUUGGCCACCAGUAGGGGCAGGUUGUCAUGCAGGCCUGUGUAAGCAUUGCAAGCAUGACUAUGCUGCAGGCCAGGAGUUCCAGCUUUUGGGUGCCCCCUGAGCAGCCCCAACUUGGGGUUACCUGUUGGGG